RNAcentral lists this ribosomal RNA (505 nucleotides) under Clapmarius kualalumpur. Its description in RNAcentral is "partial large subunit ribosomal RNA". It matches the Rfam family "Eukaryotic large subunit ribosomal RNA", at positions 755 to 1243 of the family's 3401-position model. The record is from RNAcentral. Lineage: Eukaryota; Metazoa; Arthropoda; Insecta; Hemiptera; Miridae.
GCACUCCCGGGGCGUCUCUAUCUCAUUGCGAGAGGAGGCGCACCUAGAGCGUACACGCUGAUACCCGAAAGAUGGUGAACUAUGCCUGGCCAGGACGAAGCCAGGGGAAACCCUGGUGGAGGUCCGCAGCGAUUCUGACGUGCAAAUCGAUCGUCGGAGCUGGGUUUAGGGGCGAAAGACCAAUCGAACCAUCUAGUAGCUGGUUCCCUCCGAAGUUUCCCUCAGGAUAGCUUGCGCUCGGGCGAGACGAGUCUCAUCCGGUAGAGCGAAUGAUUAGAGGCCUUGGGGUCGAAACGACCUCAACCUAUUCUCAAACUCCAAAUAGAUGAGAACCCCGGCUUUCUUGAACUUUGUGAUUGAAGCCGUGGGAUUCGGAUCAGAGUGCCAAGUGGGCCAAUUUUGGUAAGCAGAACUGGCGCUGUGGGAUGAACCAAACGUUGAGUUAAGGCGCCUCAAUCGACGCUCAUGUGAAACCAUGAAAGGCGUUGGUUGCUUAAGACAGCAG